Molecule: ribosomal RNA, 425 nt
Filed under: uncultured Bacillota bacterium
Lineage: Bacteria; Bacillati; Bacillota
Description: uncultured Firmicutes bacterium partial 16S ribosomal RNA
Rfam family: Bacterial small subunit ribosomal RNA
Source: RNAcentral
UGGGGAAUCUUCCGCAAUGGGCGCAAGCCUGACGGAGCAACGCCGCGUGAAUGAAGAAGGUUUUCGGAUCGUAAAAUUCUGUCAUCAAGGACGAUCUAGCCUGGUAAAUAGCCAGGUGAAAGACGGUACUUGAGGAGGAAGCUCCGGCUAACUACGUGCCAGCAGCCGCGGUAAUACGUAGGGAGCAAGCGUUGUCCGGAAUUACUGGGCGUAAAGGGCGCGUAGGCGGGUAUUUAAGUCAGAUGUGAAAACUCUGGGCUCAACCUGGAGACUGCAUUUGAAACUGGAUACCUUGAGGGCAGGAGAGGAAAGUGGAAUUCCUAGUGUAGCGGUGAAAUGCGUAGAUAUUAGGAGGAACACCAGUGGCGAAGGCGACUUUCUGGACUGUACCUGACGCUGAGGCGCGAAAGCGUGGGGAGCGAACG